AAGUCGUAACAAGGUUUCCGUAGGUGAACCUGCGGAAGGAUCAUUACAAAUGGGGGAGCAAUCCCCCGCGGACAAGCAAAUUGGUUGGCAUCAUCCCUAAUAGUCGCCAAGGUCCUGUGUGGCCACCUCUUCGGAGUAUCGGUAGACUUCCUCGAAUAUAUAUUCAGGUUUCCCGCGGCGCCGGCUACUGCGGCUACUUGCUGGGAAGAUCUGGCCGUUUGCAAAUCCACUCCCCUGUCUAUGAGUACCUUUUCUUUUCCCUCGGCGGGUCCGCUCGCCGCUGGGACACCCUUAACCAACUUGCAAAUAUUGUGUCAACUGUACCAAAAACAAACUUACAACUUUCAACAACGGAUCUCUUGGCUCUG
This 368-nucleotide unclassified non-coding RNA is filed under the name air metagenome. Its description in RNAcentral is "partial contains small subunit ribosomal RNA, internal transcribed spacer 1, and 5.8S ribosomal RNA". The stretch from base 1 to 46 matches the Rfam family "Eukaryotic small subunit ribosomal RNA", at positions 1786 to 1831 of the family's 1831-position model. The record is from RNAcentral.